This 333-nucleotide unclassified non-coding RNA is filed under the name plant metagenome. RNAcentral's name for it is "partial contains 5.8S ribosomal RNA, internal transcribed spacer 2, and large subunit ribosomal RNA". The stretch from base 1 to 105 matches the Rfam family "5.8S ribosomal RNA", at positions 50 to 154 of the family's 154-position model. The record is from RNAcentral.
GAACUGCGAUAAGUAAUGUGAAUUGCAGAAUUCAGUGAAUCAUCGAAUCUUUGAACGCACAUUGCGCCUCUCGGUAUUCCGGGAGGCACGCCUGUUCGAGCGCCAUUACAAACUCCAAGCGUGGCUUGAUGUUGGGCGAUGUCUUUUUGCGAGAGCGGAGACACGCCUGGAACGCGUUGGCGCCGCCGCCGGACCACGAGCGUAGCAAGACGAGAGUCAAUCGCAUCGAUUUGGUUUCCGACGGAGGUCCGCCUUUGGAUUGGAUCUUGGAUUGGAUCUACCCAUCCACAAGUUUGGCCUCGGAUCAGGCGGGGAUACCCGCUGAACUUAAGC